UACGUAGGGGGCUAGCGUUAUCCGGAAUUACUGGGCGUAAAGGGUGCGUAGGUGGUUUCUUAAGUCAGAGGUGAAAGGCUACGGCUCAACCGUAGUAAGCCUUUGAAACUGGGGAACUUGAGUGCAGGAGAGGAGAGUGGAAUUCCUAGUGUAGCGGUGAAAUGCGUAGAUAUUGGGAGGAACACCAGUUGCGAAGGCGGCUCUCUGGACUGUAACUAACACUGAGGCACGAAAGCGUGGGGAGCAAACAGG
This 252-nucleotide ribosomal RNA is filed under the name uncultured bacterium. RNAcentral describes it as "partial 16S ribosomal RNA". It matches the Rfam family "Bacterial small subunit ribosomal RNA", at positions 524 to 776 of the family's 1533-position model. The record is from RNAcentral.